This 502-nucleotide ribosomal RNA is filed under the name uncultured bacterium. RNAcentral's name for it is "partial 16S ribosomal RNA". It matches the Rfam family "Bacterial small subunit ribosomal RNA", at positions 28 to 507 of the family's 1533-position model. The record is from RNAcentral.
GACGAACGCUGGCGGCGUGCCUAAUACAUGCAAGUCGAACGAACCGCGACUAGGUGCUUGCACUUGGUCAAGGUGAGUGGCGAACGGGUGAGUAACACGUGGGUAACCUACCUCAUAGUGGGGGAUAACAGUCGGAAACGACUGCUAAUACCGCAUAGGACAUAGGAUCACAUGAUCCAGUGAGGAAAGGUGGCGCAAGCUAUCGCUAAGAGAUGGACCCGCGGUGCAUUAGCUAGUUGGUAGGGUAAAGGCCUACCAAGGCGAGGAUGCAUAGCCGACCUGAGAGGGUGGUCGGACACACUGGAACGGAGACACGGCACGGACCCCUACGGGAGGCAGCGGUGGGGAAUCUAACAUAAUGGACGGGAGGCUGACGGAGCCACGCCGCGCGAGUGGAAAAGGUCUUCGGAUAGUGAAGCUAUGUUGUUAGUGAAGAAGAGCGCAUAGAGUAACUGUUAGGUUUGUGACGGUACCUAGCCAGAAAGCAACGGCUAACUACGUG